GACCUUUUUAGAAAUGUGUGCGCUCGAAACAGGGAAUAACUGCUCUCUACGCGUAAUCUCCGUACUGAAAUCGGGAAAUUUCCGAUAAGACGACAACGAGGACUCGCCAACACUAGGGAGAAUCGUCGACGGGAAGGGUUUUAGUGUUUUGGAUCUACCUCUAUUUUUCCCCUCCAAGAUUUUAAGAAAAAAAUAUUGUCGAAACGAAACGUGGCGUUUCACGUAGCAACAUCUAUUCGAUUCUUGUUGGACCGUCUUCUCCCUCUCUCUCUUUUCAUUCCCUUUGCUCUUUUGGAGGGAAUUGGAAUUUCAUUUGGCGGGAAUUCAAUUCCUUUUGCGAUCUAAAUCUCAGUUGCUUUCAGUUUUUUUGAAAUUACUUGUUUGGAAUCGAAAGGAGAUGUUAUUGAAUUUCUACGUACAUAACAUAAGCAGCUUUUAGGGAAGGGGAAACGAUGGGAGUAUCAGAUAAUUCGAAAGGGCUAAUUCUGGCUGUGGCAUCCAGUGCUUUUAUUGGGGCGAGCUUCAUUUUGAAGAAGAAGGGGCUGAAGCGAGCUGG
Molecule: unclassified non-coding RNA, 556 nt
Filed under: Hevea brasiliensis (rubber tree)
Lineage: Eukaryota; Viridiplantae; Streptophyta; Magnoliopsida; Malpighiales; Euphorbiaceae
Source: RNAcentral